CUGCUUAUGAACUGUUGUUCCGAUAAAGUUGGAACGAUGCAAAGAAGAUUAGCAUGCCCCCUGCGAAAGGAUGACACACACAAAUCAGAAAAAUGCUCCAAAUUAUU
Lycium ferocissimum is the source of this 107-nucleotide small nuclear RNA. The record is from RefSeq and is a predicted model, not a curated record. Lineage: Eukaryota; Viridiplantae; Streptophyta; Magnoliopsida; Solanales; Solanaceae.